UUAGAGGUAGACGCAGAGAACUGAAACAUCUUAGUACCUGCAGGAAGAGAAAGAAAAUUCGAUUCCCUGAGUAGCGGCGAGCGAAACGGGAAGAGCCCAAACCAACAAGCUUGCUUGUUGGGGUUGUAGGACUCCGAUAUGGUAGUCUGUUAGUAUAGUUGAAGGAUUUGGAAAAUUCCGCUAAAGAGGGUGAAAGCCCCGUAGACGAAAUGCUGACAACACCUAGGAGGAUCCUGAGUACGGCGGAACACGAGAAAUUCCGUCGGAAUCCGCGGGGACCAUCCCGCAAGGCUAAAUACUCCCUAGUGACCGAUAGUGAACCAGUACCGUGAGGGAAAGGUGAAAAGCACCCCGGAAGGGGAGUGAAAUAGAUCCUGAAACCGUGUGCCUACAACAAGUCAAAGCUCGUUAAUGAGUGAUGGCGUGCCUUUUGUAGAAUGAACCGGCGAGUUACGAUUGCAUGCGAGGUUAAGUCGAAGAGACGGAGCCGCAGCGAAAGCGAGUCUGAAUAGGGCGAAUGAGUAUGUAGUCGUAGACCCGAAACCAUGUGAUCUACCCAUGUCCAGGUUGAAGGUGCGGUAAAACGCACUGGAGGACCGAACCCACGUACGUUGAAAAGUGCGGGGAUGAGGUGUGGGUAGCGGAGAAAUUCCAAACGAACUUGGAGAUAGCUGGUUCUCUCCGAAAUAGCUUUAGGGCUAGCCUCGGAAUUGAGAAUGAUGGAGGUAGAGCACUGUUUGGACUAGGGGCCCAUCUCGGGUUACCGAAUUCAGAUAAACUCCGAAUGCCAUUCAUUUAUAUCCGGGAGUCAGACUGCGAGUGAUAAGAUCCGUAGUCGAAAGGGAAACAGCCCAGACCACCAGCUAAGGUCCCAAAAUAUAUGUUAAGUGGAAAAGGAUGUGGGGUUGCACAGACAACUAGGAUGUUGGCUUAGAAGCAGCCACCAUUUAAAGAGUGCGUAAUAGCUCACUAGUCGAGUGACCCUGCGCCGAAAAUGUACCGGGGCUAAACAUAUUACCGAAGCUGUGGACUACACCAUUAGGUGUAGUGGUAGGAGAGCGUUCUAAGGGCGUUGAAGGUCGAUCGUGAGGACGGCUGGAGCGCUUAGAAGUGAGAAUGCCGGUAUGAGUAGCGAAAGACAGGUGAGAAUCCUGUCCACCGUAUGACUAAGGUUUCCUGGGGAAGGCUCGUCCGCCCAGGGUUAGUCGGGACCUAAGCCGAGGCCGAUAGGCGUAGGCGAUGGACAACAGGUUGAUAUUCCUGUACCAGUUGUUUUUGUUUGAGCAAUGGAGGGACGCAGUAGGCUAUGGAAUGCAUGCGAUUGGAAGUGCAUGUCCAAGCAAUGAGUCUUGAGUAGAGUUAAAUGCUUUACUCUUUAAGGACAAGUUGUGACGGGGAGCGAAAUAAUAGUAGCGAAGUUCCUGAUGUCACACUGCCAAGAAAAGCUUCUAGUGAGAAAACAACUGCCCGUACCGUAAACCGACACAGGUAGUCGAGGAGAGUAUCCUAAGGUGAGCGAGCGAACUCUCGUUAAGGAACUCGGCAAAAUGACCCCGUAACUUCGGGAGAAGGGGUGCUGACUUCGGUCAGCCGCAGUGAAUAGGCCCAAGCGACUGUUUAUCAAAAACACAGGUCUCUGCAAAAUCGUAAGAUGAAGUAUAGGGGCUGACGCCUGCCCGGUGCUGGAAGGGUAAGAGGAUGGGUUAGCUUCGGCGAAGCUCAGAAUUGAAGCCCCAGUAAACGGCGGCCGUAACUAUAACGGUCCUAAGGUAGCGAAAUUCCUUGUCGGGU
RNAcentral lists this ribosomal RNA (1791 nucleotides) under human gut metagenome. Its description in RNAcentral is "bacterial LSU rRNA". It matches the Rfam family "Bacterial large subunit ribosomal RNA", at positions 173 to 1977 of the family's 2925-position model. The record is from RNAcentral.